This 295-nucleotide long non-coding RNA is filed under the name Prunus persica (peach). Its description in RNAcentral is "long non-coding RNA (PPER_LNC007980)". Lineage: Eukaryota; Viridiplantae; Streptophyta; Magnoliopsida; Rosales; Rosaceae. The record is from RNAcentral.
UUUCUAACUCAGUACAACACUUAACUGGAGCCUAACUAGCAUACACAAGAAUUUGUUGUACGCACUUGCACAAGUUAUGGGCCACAUGCCACCCCAAGCAAAUACAUAACCUGCUACGCAGAAAGGCCAAAAUGAACCCAUAAAGCAUACUGACUCUGUGAACCCAAGCUUACUGACAUGCUAAGUGCCAUUUGGCCCGGCCAUAGCCCAUUACAAUGCGGUAGAACUCGAGCAUAAGCACGCCAAAUAGCACGCAACGUCAAGCGAAAGACUUUUAUUUUGACACCAAGUCACG